GCAGUCUGCAACUCGACUGCAUGAAGCUGGAAUCGCUAGUAAUCGCGAAUCAGAAUGUCGCGGUGAAUACGUUCCCGGGCCUUGUACACACCGCCCGUCACACCAUGGGAGUUGGAAGCACCCGAAGUCGGUGACCUGACCGCAAGGGAGGAGCCGCCGAAGGUGAAGCCAGCGACUGGGGUGAAGUCGUAACAAGGUAAC
RNAcentral lists this ribosomal RNA (201 nucleotides) under uncultured bacterium. Its description in RNAcentral is "partial 16S ribosomal RNA". It matches the Rfam family "Bacterial small subunit ribosomal RNA", at positions 1300 to 1500 of the family's 1533-position model. The record is from RNAcentral.